CAGUGAGCAAGGUUCAGUUUAGGGAUUGAGAGCCCUCAGCGACUAUAACACCUAGCCCAUAUUCAAAUUGUAGCACUUGAUUGCUGCCACUGAUUCUUCAAAAUGCCUAUCUUGUAUGGAAUGCUUGACAGCCAAAUGGAAUGAUUUAAACAAAUGCCAAAGGUGAGACAUGCUGGAAAAGCUUGAUAUGAAUGUGUAGACGUAGUUUUGGAAUUCAGAGGUGCAGCUGGCUGUUGGGAUUGCGCCAUCUAGGCAAUGUGGAUAUUCUGCCAUGUACAUGAUAAACCGAGGAUUCUUCGUCAACAUGCAAGAUGUGAC
Molecule: long non-coding RNA, 318 nt
Organism: Daphnia carinata
Lineage: Eukaryota; Metazoa; Arthropoda; Branchiopoda; Diplostraca; Daphniidae
Exons: 3
Source: RefSeq, a predicted model, not a curated record